Molecule: ribosomal RNA, 181 nt
Filed under: uncultured Actinomycetales bacterium
Lineage: Bacteria; Bacillati; Actinomycetota; Actinomycetes; Actinomycetales
Description: partial 16S ribosomal RNA
Rfam family: Bacterial small subunit ribosomal RNA
Source: RNAcentral
GGAAACUGGGGCUAAUACCGGAUAGGAGCUCCUGCUGCAUGGUGGGGGUUGGAAAGUUUCGGCGGUUGGGGAUGGACUCGCGGCCUAUCAGCUUGUUGGUGGGGUAGUGGCUUACCAAGGCUUUGACGGGUAGCCGGCCUGAGAGGGUGACCGGCCACAUUGGGACUGAGAUACGGCCCAG